This 330-nucleotide unclassified non-coding RNA is filed under the name soil metagenome. RNAcentral describes it as "partial contains 5.8S ribosomal RNA, internal transcribed spacer 2, and large subunit ribosomal RNA". The stretch from base 1 to 121 matches the Rfam family "5.8S ribosomal RNA", at positions 35 to 154 of the family's 154-position model. The record is from RNAcentral.
GACGAAGAACGCAGCGAAAUGCGAUAAGUAAUGCGAAUUGCAGAAUUCCAGUGAGUCAUCGAAUCUUUGAACGCACAUUGCGCCCCUUGGUAUUCCGAGGGGCAUGCCUGUUCGAGCGUCAUUAUAACCCCUCAAGCUCAGCUUGGUGUUGGGGCCUGCUGCACUGGCAGCCCUUAAAAUCAGUGGCGGCGCCAUCUGGCUCUAAGCGUAGUAAUUCUUCUCGCUAUGGAGUCCUGGUGGAUGCUUGCCAUCAACCCCCAAUUUUUCUAUGGUUGACCUCGGAUCAGGUAGGGAUACCCGCUGAACUUAAGCAUAUCAAUAAGCGGAGGA